CAAAGUUCUAUCAGAAGCCCGGCAGGAACAGUGGAGCUUUGGAGAAAUAACAGAUGAAAACAUUGGAGGGAGCCACAGGAGGUAGACUGAUAGACUAAGGACUGUUUCUGUAAUCAGGUCCUGCUGAGUUCCUGCUGUAUACCAGAGGUCAUGGGUCACACAGAACAACUGAAACAGCCAACUACUCUCAAAUUCUCAUUCUUAAAAUGCAAACACAACCUUAUUCAGCACCAGAAGCAGUGAGUUGGAAACAUUUGUGCUUCCCUCAAAAGAGAUGCAUUUAGAUUUGGACUCAAGAACCUGCUGGGGAUAGGGAGUAUGUAUACAGGAUCAGGGAUAUGGCUCAGGAUACAGCAGGAGUACAGAUCUUCAACGACCAUGUAAACAGUCAUGCAUGGCACAGGAGCUCACUGGCUACCGUCUAACCAAAAUGGCAAGAGUACAGGUUCACUGAGAGACCCCUCCUCAAAACAGCUAAGGUGGAGAGUGACUGAGAAACAUCCUGAGGUCAGCCUCCAGUACAUGUACACACACAGACACAUACACACACACCUUUUAUACUUUUAAAGUUGAAAGGCCACUGCAAAAAUAGUGUUGCUUUACAAAUCAAUGCAAACAUUUGUUAAAUGAAGAAAUUUUGGUUUUUGUUUGUUGGUUUGUUGCCUUUGUUUUGUUUUUCUUUUCUCCAGACCCCGUGCUGCUCAGCUAAGAAUAGCAUUUUCUUUAAUUCUGUUGUAACUGGGACCAUCUACAGGUCUUACACCACUCUGCUGUUAUGAGGCAACUAAUGUGGAAUUUGACCUGAGCAUGGGAUUGUCUGAAGUUCUCCCAGGCAAUCCCACUCUACAGGAGAGGAGGAUGUCUGGUGGGAGCUGGAGCAGGACCUGGAGGGUCUAUACGCCUCUCUUCCCUGUCCACUCUGCUGUGUCCCUGCUCCAAGACCUCGUCCUAUAGCUGUAAAAUACACACUUAUGGUUGGCACUACCAUGCAGAUUUUUGAAUGAAAUAAUUCCCAAUGCUUUACACCAAGAUCCCAGAGAAAACCAUUCAAGUCGCACUAAAGCUCAAGUAAAAAAUGUGUUUCUUCCAACACUGCCCUGCAAUGUGCUCCUGAAAAGAAGUGAGCUUGCGGGACUGCUCUCCCAGGAAAGGGGAUACUCUAAAAAGACCACCCAUGCCUCUCCCUUUAGCUAUCAGACUGUGUAAAAACAAAGAACCUCAAACACACCCCCACCCCCACCUUCACCCCAAACCAGAGCUGGGAAAGGCUGAAAUCCUGGUGCUAGUCAGUGGAGAAACCCACCUCACAGGAAGAGAAUUUCACACAGUUCUGACCCCUGGAGAGCAACUGGACCUGAGACUAAGGUGAGUCAGGGGUAGUGGGGGAGGGGUGGGGCUGGGGUUUUCACCUGGACCUGGCCUGCAAACCCCGGGCUUUCCAUUUAAGAAGAUGACAGGAGAUUCUAGUUAAGAAGGGAGAUGGCUCGGCUAGUAACUCAUCAGUAAGUGCUUAUGCAUGAGAGUGAGGACCUUAGUUUGAUCCCCCAGAAUCCACAGAAAAAAGUUGGGUGCAAAUCACAAGCUGGGGAGAUCUAGAUAGGAAGAUCCCAGGGGCGUUCUGGCUGCUAGCUAGUCCAGUCCAUCCCAGCCUGUGAACUCCAGAUUCAGUGAAGGACGGUGUCUCACCAAAGUAAGGCUGAGAGUGAUUAAAUAAGUCAUCCAACAUUAACCACUGGGCUGUUGUGUAAACAAGGGUACACAGACACACACACCAUACAUUUUAUGGACUUGGGCAUCCAUGGACAUCUGUAUUUUUUCAGCUUCCCAAUGAAGCCUCACUGAGGAAGUUUCUUUCCUCUGCUUUUCACUGUCACGCGUCACUUUAGUUGGUAUUGGAGGCAGGUGGCCAAGGUUCUUGGCUUGUUGGGGCUGCCUCGGCUUUGUCCCCAACACUCCAGUUAACUGUACAACAAGCUCACUUUCCAGCACUGGAGUCUGUUGAGCUGGGCAUUCCAGCAGCAGCCCAGGCACAAAGAAAGCCUUUUCUGAGGAGGAAGGUGUUCUUAGAGAGCUGCAUAUGGAUUUGUGGAACAGGACUUUGAAGCGCUCCCUCUAAUCUUGCAGCCUGCGUCACUGAGGAUGGAUCUCCAAGGCAAGAAUCCAUCAGAUCAUACAAAAUCACAUUACAGAACUCAGCAAAAAGAACUUAAAACGAACAAGCAAGCAAGCAAGCAAGCAAGCAAGCAAGGAAACAAGCAAGGAAACAAGCAAGGAAACAAACAAACAAACAAACAACUAUUAAAAUAGCCGUGCUUACCAUGAGAAACUUGUUGGCCUCAACAAGCUCCUUUUGGUCUAAUCUGUAACUGCCCUUUCCUUGUUACUAUUAAGUUUUAAAGUGGGGCAAUUUCCGCACUACCAUCUUACUUAUCUGUCAUGAUUUCUGGUUUCAUUGUAAAAUUAAUGUGUUUUCCAAGGCA
This is a long non-coding RNA of Mus musculus (house mouse), 2480 nucleotides long. RefSeq annotates it as predicted gene, 41005. NCBI's taxonomy places the organism in Eukaryota, Metazoa, Chordata, Mammalia, Rodentia, Muridae. The record is from RefSeq and is a predicted model, not a curated record. The transcript is spliced from 2 exons.